ACAAAAUAACACUAUAAUAAUAUUAUUAAUAGAAUUAAAUAAAAAAUUAGAUAAGAUAAUUAAAGAAAAAGAAGCUAUAAAAGAACAACCAAAAAAUACUGAAAUAGAAGAAUUAAUAAGUCAAUUAAAAAAUAUUGAGAUUACUCCACCUAAAGAAAGACCUAAUAUAGUUAGAAAAUCUCAAAAAUGGACUUUCUUUCAGGUAGAAGAACAACAACCGAAGAAAGACCACGAGUAAGCUUUUCCGAUAAUAGAAUAGGAAAUAACUUCAUAUCAAGAAUAUUAACAAAAAAUAAGCAAGAAGAUAAACAAAUCCAGGAG
Molecule: long non-coding RNA, 321 nt
Filed under: Solanum tuberosum (potato)
Lineage: Eukaryota; Viridiplantae; Streptophyta; Magnoliopsida; Solanales; Solanaceae
Description: long non-coding RNA (STUB_LNC005330)
Source: RNAcentral